RNAcentral lists this ribosomal RNA (323 nucleotides) under uncultured eukaryote. RNAcentral's name for it is "partial 18S ribosomal RNA". It matches the Rfam family "Eukaryotic small subunit ribosomal RNA", at positions 1470 to 1796 of the family's 1831-position model. The record is from RNAcentral.
CCCUUAGAUGUUCUGGGCCGCACGCGCGCUACACUGAUACAUGCAACGAGUUUAUAACCUUGAUCUGACGGUCUGGGUAAUCUUCAAACUGUAUCGUGUUAGGGAUCGAUUCUUGCAAUUUUUAAUCGUAAACGAGGAAUUCCUAGUAAACGCAAGUCAUCAGCUUGCAUUGAUUACGUCCCUGCCCUUUGUACACACCGCCCGUCGACUCCACCGAUUGAAUGGUUCGGUGAAAACUUUGGACUGUGGCAUUGUCCUUCAUUGGACUUCGCCGUAGGAAAUUGUUUAAACCUCAUCAUUUAGAGGAAGAAUAAGUCGUAACA